This 407-nucleotide ribosomal RNA is filed under the name uncultured bacterium. RNAcentral describes it as "partial 16S ribosomal RNA". It matches the Rfam family "Bacterial small subunit ribosomal RNA", at positions 30 to 526 of the family's 1533-position model. The record is from RNAcentral.
AUUGAACGCUGGCGGCAGGCCUAACACAUGCAAGUCGAGCGGAGCGGCGGACGGGUGAGUAAUGCCUAGGAAUCUGCCUGGUAGUGGGGGAUAACGUCCGGAAACGGGCGCUAAUACCGCAUACUAUCAGAUGAGCCUAGGUCGGAUUAGCUAGUUGGUGGGGUAAAGGCCUACCAAGGCGACGAUCCGUAACUGGUCUGAGAGGAUGAUCAGUCACACUGGAACUGAGACACGGUCCAGACUCCUACGGGAGGCAGCAGUGGGGAAUAUUGCACAAUGGGCGCAAGCCUGAUGCAGCCAUGCCGCGUGUAUGAAGAAGGCCUUCGGGUUGUAAAGUACUUUCAGCGGGGAGGCGUUACCCGCAGAAGAAGCACCGGCUAACUCCGUGCCAGCAGCCGCGGUAAUAC